This 233-nucleotide ribosomal RNA is filed under the name uncultured bacterium. RNAcentral's name for it is "partial 16S ribosomal RNA". It matches the Rfam family "Bacterial small subunit ribosomal RNA", at positions 100 to 334 of the family's 1533-position model. The record is from RNAcentral.
CGGGACGGGUGAGUAAUGUCUGGGAAACUGCCUGAUGGAGGGGGAUAACUACUGGAAACGGUAGCUAAUACCGCAUAACGUCGCAAGACCAAAGAGGGGGACCUUCGGGCCUCUUGCCAUCGGAUGUGCCCAGAUGGGAUUAGCUAGUAGGUGGGGUAACGGCUCACCUAGGCGACGAUCCCUAGCUGGUCUGAGAGGAUGGCCAGCCACACUGGAACUGAGACACGGUCCAG